UCCUCGUUAGUAUAGUGGUCAGUAUCCCCGCCUGUCACGCGGGAGACCCGGGGUUCAAUUCCCCGACGGGGAG
Molecule: transfer RNA, 73 nt
Filed under: Merluccius polli (Benguela hake)
Lineage: Eukaryota; Metazoa; Chordata; Actinopteri; Gadiformes; Merlucciidae
Rfam family: tRNA
About the family: Transfer RNA (tRNA) molecules are approximately 80 nucleotides in length. Their secondary structure includes four short double-helical elements and three loops (D, anti-codon, and T loops).
Source: Rfam by way of RNAcentral